Molecule: ribosomal RNA, 604 nt
Filed under: uncultured Actinomycetes bacterium
Lineage: Bacteria; Bacillati; Actinomycetota; Actinomycetes
Description: bacterial SSU rRNA
Rfam family: Bacterial small subunit ribosomal RNA
Source: RNAcentral
GUGAGGUAAUGGCUCACCAAGGCGACGACGGGUAGCCGGCCUGAGAGGGCGAUCGGCCACACUGGGACUGAGACACGGCCCAGACUCCUACGGGAGGCAGCAGUGGGGAAUAUUGCACAAUGGGCGAAAGCCUGAUGCAGCGACGCCGCGUGAGGGAUGAAGGCCUUCGGGUUGUAAACCUCUUUCAGCAGGGAAGAAGCGCAAGUGACGGUACCUGCAGAAGAAGCACCGGCUAACUACGUGCCAGCAGCCGCGGUAAUACGUAGGGUGCAAGCGUUGUCCGGAAUUAUUGGGCGUAAAGAGCUUGUAGGCGGUUUGUCGCGUCUGCUGUGAAAUUUCGGGGCUCAACCCCGAACUUGCAGUGGGUACGGGCAGACUAGAGUGUGGUAGGGGAGACUGGAAUUCCUGGUGUAGCGGUGAAAUGCGCAGAUAUCAGGAGGAACACCGGUGGCGAAGGCGCCGCUCUGGGCCGAAACUGACGCUGAGGAGCGAAAGCAUGGGUAGCAAACAGGAUUAGAUACCCUGGUAGUCCAUGCCGUAAACGUUGGGCACUAGGUGUGGGUUCCAACCAACGGAAUCCGCGCCGUCGCUAACGCAUUAAGUG